GCCCUUGUAGUAUAAAUCAACACGCUAGCCUUGUAAACUAGAAAUGGAGCUCACAACCCCUAGGGCA
RNAcentral lists this transfer RNA (67 nucleotides) under Cercopithecus erythrotis erythrotis. RNAcentral describes it as "tRNA-Thr". Lineage: Eukaryota; Metazoa; Chordata; Mammalia; Primates; Cercopithecidae. The record is from RNAcentral. RNAcentral also lists the same sequence under 1 other name.